RNAcentral lists this ribosomal RNA (253 nucleotides) under uncultured bacterium. Its description in RNAcentral is "partial 16S ribosomal RNA". It matches the Rfam family "Bacterial small subunit ribosomal RNA", at positions 524 to 776 of the family's 1533-position model. The record is from RNAcentral.
UACGGGGGGGGCAAGCGUUGUUCGGAAUUACUGGGCGUAAAGGGUUCGUAGGUGGCCUACUAAGUCAGACGUGAAAUCCCUCAGCUUAACUGGGGAACUGCGUCUGAGACUGGUGGGCUUGAGUGCAGGAGAGGAACGCGGAAUUCCAGGUGUAGCGGUGAAAUGCGUAGAUAUCUGGAGGAACACCGGUGGCGAAGGCGGUCUGCUGGGCCGUUGCUGACGCUGAGGCGCGACAGCGUGGGGAGCAAACAGG